This 422-nucleotide ribosomal RNA is filed under the name uncultured prokaryote. RNAcentral describes it as "bacterial SSU rRNA". It matches the Rfam family "Bacterial small subunit ribosomal RNA", at positions 355 to 774 of the family's 1533-position model. The record is from RNAcentral.
UAAGGAAUAUUGGGCAAUGGACGCAAGUCUGACCCAGCCAUGCCGCGUGCAGGAUGACGGCCCUACGGGUUGUAAACUGCUUUUGUACGGGAAAAAACCCUCGCUCGUGAGCGGGGCUGAUGGUACCGUAAGAAUAAGCAUCGGCUAACUCCGUGCCAGCAGCCGCGGUAAUACGGAGGAUGCAAGCGUUAUCCGGAUUCAUUGGGUUUAAAGGGUCCGCAGGCGGGAUAAUAAGUCAGAGGUGAAAUCCUACGGCUCAACUGUAGAACUGCCUUUGAUACUGUUAUUCUUGAGUACACUUGGAGUGGGCGGAAUGUGUCAUGUAGCGGUGAAAUGCUUAGAUAUGACACAGAACACCGAUCGCGAAGGCAGCUCACUAAGUUGUAACUGACGCUCAGGCACGAAAGCGUGGGGAUCAAACA